AAAAAGAGAAACUCUGGGUUUCCGUGUCCAACUUUAACUGUCCGUCUUAUAUAAAAUUUUUUAUAAUUCGUAUUUUCAUUAUUGUUAGAUGAUAAAACAUGAUUAAUAUUUUAUGCGUGACUUGUCUUUUUAAUUUUUUUUCAUAAUUUUUUCAAAUAAGACGAACGGUCAAAUGUUGGACACAGAAACCAGAGUUUGUCUUUUUU
Oryza sativa Japonica Group (Japanese rice) is the source of this 206-nucleotide microRNA precursor. It matches the Rfam family "MIR812 microRNA precursor family". The record is from Rfam. Lineage: Eukaryota; Viridiplantae; Streptophyta; Magnoliopsida; Poales; Poaceae.